This 9995-nucleotide long non-coding RNA is filed under the name Equus caballus (horse). RNAcentral's name for it is "lncRNA (ENSECAG00000052471.1)". The record is from RNAcentral. Lineage: Eukaryota; Metazoa; Chordata; Mammalia; Perissodactyla; Equidae.
AAUGAGCAGGGUUUUUUUUUUUUUUUCCACACUGAAAAGAACACUUGCUUCUCUUUUUCCAACAUUUAGCUUAUGAUGGUUUUAGAAUUUAUGUUCUCAGUUAUAUCUUCCAUUGACUUUGAAAUCCUAGAAAAUACUCACCAUAGUUCUUCCCAGAACCCAGCACUCUUCAAAGCCUGUCUUUAUAUAGCAUUAGAAAAUGGAGACGCACAAAACUAUUUCACAUGAGUUUGUUGCUCUGGUUCACUUCUAAGAACACUGGCUCUGCUCUUCCGACUAACCAGAAUCACGACAGCUGUCUAAUAGCUGAGCAAUGUCUGUUAUUAGGGGUGAGAAUGUGAAGAGAUUUCCAUGCUAAGUUUCUCAGAGUUGAGCUGAGGGUAAGUUCUAUUUUCUUUCACUGGAAAAGAUUUGAGCUAGAUUUUUUUUAAAAAAAAACAAUAGAUGUCUUCGGAAUGAAGUCCCUAAGACCGUGCUGGAAAGUACUAAUGGCCGUGUUUGCCCACCUGGCUGGAUGUGCCAGCCUCAUGUCUGCGACUGGUCUAGGUCAGUUCAUGUCAUUGACUUCUACGGGGCUAUCAGUAUUUGGGUUUUUUAAAACUUUCUAUUCAGAGCUGAAAUCCCAUCUGGUCUUCAGUACUUAUUCAUUUCUAUUCCAUUGUUUCCAAACUUCAUUCCUGUCUGCUUCAAAUGCUUUUCAUGGGCAUCUUCCUCUUUUGGGGCCAUAGGACAUAAAAUCUUUGAGCUGAAAGGUCCAUUAGAGUUCAUCCACUAUGAUGUCCUCAUUUUACAUAUGAGAGAAAUGAGGCACAGAGAAGGGAAAGGAAUUGAUGGUCAUAAUUUAAUGGGGUUUGUCUUAGAUCCCAGCUCUUCUGAGUGCUGAUUUGGCCACCUGCCUAAAGAGGUGGUAUAAUCUGAAGUGGGGAUUAGAACUAAGGUGCAUGUCUGAACAGUUUGUGCCCUCACUAUAUGACUCUCUAUUAGUUUUCUAUGCUAUGUAACAAAUUGCCCCAAGUAUAGUUUCUUAAAACAACAUACAUCUACUAUCUCACUGUUAUAUACUAAAUUAUUAUAUAUGUGUGUGUGUGUAUAUAUAUAUAUACACACAUACAUGUAUAUAUUAUACCAUAUAUGUUCUAUACUAUAUAUAUCUUGCUAUUUCUGGAGGUUAGGAAUCUGAUCAAGGCCUAGCUGGAUUCUCCAGAUUCAGGCAGCAAUAAUCACAGUAGCUGCCAGUCUGUGUUCUUAUCUGGAGGCCCAACUGCAGAAGUAUCUUCUUCCAAGCUUUCUCAGGUUGUUGGCGGAAUUUAUUUCCUUGUGGCUGUGAAAUUGAGGGCCCUGGCUUCCUUAUGGCUGUUGGCUAGAGAUGGUCUCAGCACCUAGAGGCCAUCCUCACUCCCUUGACAUCUGGGCCUUCUAAGUUGCUCACUUACUUCUUCAAAGCCAGCAAGGGAGAAAGUUUCUAGCAAGAUAGAGUCUUAUAUAACUUAACAGAAUCAAGGCGAGAGACACCGCGUGACGGUUUCCAUAUUCUAUUGGUUAGAAGCAACUCACAAAUAGUACCCAAACUCAAGGGGAGGAAAUUAUACAAGGGCGUGAACCCCAGAGAUGAGGAUCAUUGGGGGUCACCUUAGGGACUGCACAACUCCAAACAAAUGAUUUACUUGGACUAACACAGGAAUAAAUUUCAGGCAAGAAAUAUUCUCACUAUAACUCACUGUCAGUUUGCAAAUACGUUUCCAGUGGUGUGUCUCUGAGCUCUAUCCUCUAUCUCAUUCAAUAAUUUUAUCCUUUUUAUCAAUGAAUCCGUGAAGAUACAAAAGAUAAGCUUUUCAAAUUUAUAGGUGAACGAGAUCAGAGUGUUAGCAAAUAAUUUGGAUGACACAAUUAAGUUUCAUUUUUAUUUCAAUGCUAGUGUAAUGGGAAUAACAUUUUUGAUUUAUAUCAAAAUAAUUUUUCUAUUUGAAUUUUCUUGCAUGUGACCUCCCAUUCAGCCAGAGGCAUCCAUUUGCCUUGGAGAAAAUUAAGAUUUUUGUAGCAGGAGUGCAAGGAAAAAGGCAAUGCUGAAUUUAUAAACUCCAAAAUGGAAGUUUUGAAUUCACAGACUGACUAUUCUGAAAGACAGGCUUGGUGAGAGAGAAUAGAUUUUCUAAACUUCUUUAGCUUCCAGUAACAUUAUUUUUCUUUUCUUUUCUUUUUUUUGAGGUAGAUUAGCCCUGAGCUAACAUCUGCCACUAAUCCUCCUCUUUUUUGCUGAGGAAGAGUGGUCCUGAGCUAACAGCUGUGCCCAUCUUCCUUCACUUUAUAUGGGACGCCUGCCACAGCAUGGCUUGACAAGCAGUGCAUAGGUCUGCACCUGGGAUCCGAACCGGGGAACCCCGGGCCGCCAAAGUGGAACGUGUGCACUUAACCGCUGCACUACUGGGCUAGUCCUCCAGUAAUACUUUUGAUCAUUGAGUUUUAAUAUAAGUAACAGGGCAGAGGGAACUUAGGUAAGAUGUCACAGAAGCCUCUGCCAUUAAAGAAGGGAGGAAAACACACCCCUUGCAUUCCCAGAGGGCUGUGGGAAAGAGAAAGAAGACAGAACAGGAUACGGUGGUCAGAUGUUGGGGCCCUGAGGGACCUUGCUCAAGGCCCAAAAUUCAAGGGUUGCUGAAAUAUCUAGGUAAGUAUAUGGAAACCCAGUCAUACUGGGAUGAUUGAUCAGUUUCCUUAGGUGUAGCCUGAGGCUACCUGCAAACUUCUGGAAUUGCCUCACAAUGGGCUGGGCAACUGUAAUUUCCAGUGUGGUAUGUAUCACUGACAGAGAGGCGGCUUGAUAGAUGAACCUGAGGCACCACUUCUAGCCUCCUGUGAUCUGUUAGUGUCAUUCUUGGAGCUCAGAAAUUCCCAUAUAGCCCAGGGAGGGCACAUGGAGAUGCUGAGGGGGCUUGGAGUGGAAACAAAGGUUCGCAGUGACAAUGUUGGACCUUACCUGAGCCCUGUGAUUCGGGAAAACUAGCCAAGGAUAAGAAAUCCCCUAUCUUUUUGUGUUCCAGGAAAGGGCUCACUUCAAAGCACCACCCUCUCCCAUAUGACCUAGAAAAAGCUAUCUGAUGCCACCUAGUUUACCUACUACAAGACCAGACCUGUACCCUCCAAAUUCCCAUUCUUUGCCUCAUAAAUGGUUAGCUGAAUUGCUUGUGUCUACUGAUCAACUGAACAAAAUACUGGUUAAUUAAACUUUGGUUAGAGUUAGAAUUUUCUCCUUCUCCCAGUUCUCUUAACUUUGGCCCACCUCCAGCUGAGUCAGUACACAGCCCCUCCCAAGAUUAGGCUCGCCUCUCAGUAAAAUAUUCUCUGAUUCACUAUUCCAUCACACCACUCUUUCAUCCCACUUCCUCACACCCAGUUCUUUGUAACCUUGUUUACUCUUCUCUAUAAAAGAAAAGCUCUAUUUGCAGAACUCUUGAGAUGCUUGCAGAUAUUAUGGUUAAGGCGUCCUCCCAAUUACAAUAGCCCCGCCUCCUACUGCAAUAGCCCUUUUUGCAACAAUCCUUUUGAAUAAGUCUGUCCUUACUAAGUCUGUAUUUCUUUUUAUUUGACAACAGCAUAUGUGAGCUUGUGACCAGAGGCAAAUGGCCAGAGCCACUGAUCCAACCGUGGAUGCCAGAAUGAUGUCCCAAGGCUCAAAUGGGGCCAUCGACACCUCAGGGAUGAGAUCCAACAACUUGCUCCGUGGUACAGACCAGUGAGGACCAGAGGAUGUCACUCAGGUUUGGCGCCCCUUUUCCAUCAUCGUGAGGUCUCAUGAUUCCCUCCUUCAGCCAGUUUACAUCUUGGAGAAGAGGGUCUGGAGUGAUCCACAGGCACUGAAAAAAUUUACUCAAAAGAAUCAAGUCUGUUUCUUCCAGCUUAAAAGUCUUUUUUGAAUGAGACACCAUUACUGGAAAAUUUAUUUUUUUCUUGCUACCCAGUAGGCUCUUAUGAGGGUGACUGGCUCUGUUACCAAAAGUUUACAAAAGCCACAUUUUCUUAACUACAACUAACAGUAGUGUGUGCAAAUUUGUGACCGGCUACACUAGAAUUAUGAAUCAAACAAAACAAGAUGAUGUUCCACAGCAAUAAAUGUAAAAUCCUGCCUUUGAGCUCAAAAACAUGUAAGGACAGGAUGUGAAUAUUUGGUUUAGGAACAGCAUGGCAGCACUCAGGAAGAAAAAAUUAGGGGUUGCAUUAGUCAGGAAUUUUUUGGUCGCAACUUACAGAAACCCAACUGGAAUUAGGCAAAAGGUCAAAAAGGGAAUUUAUUGGAUCUUGGAAUCCAAGAACAACCAGACUGAGAGAAGGAAGGGAGGCUGCUGUGUUUUAGGGAAAAACGGGGCAAGGGACACAAAGCUGUGGGACUCCCUCCAUUCUAGUCUUGGCUUCUCUUUGGGUGGCAUUCUCUCCUUUGGGUUUUCUUCUCUCUCACUACACACCAUCCUUCUGCACUAGGCAGGGUUAUGGCCCUUCAAUGCUUGUGAGUCUCACCUCUUCUGACUUUUGCUACUGGACUUGAUGGCGGCUCAGAAGAAUGCUGUGGAAGAAUUCUCAUAGGAAACCUGGUAAGGGCUCUCCUGUGGCCAGGGAAAGAGAAUCAUGUAAAAAAAAAAAAAAGCUGUUCUCAAACUAGCCAUUUAAAUGUGUUUAUGGGAGGGAGAAAAGAAGGGGGCCACUCCAAAAUUUCAAGAAGUAAAGGAAGUUUCUGGAUAAAUAAUCCCAUAUAGUCCAAGUAUAAGUGUGUGGUCAACAUUGUUAAUAUUAAGUAAGGGAGAGAACAUGUUUUUCAGAGAAGUUGAUGUGGUGGGAGCCCGGGUCUGUGGAUGUGGAGUUCAGGGUGCCACAGUUAGCACACAUGGAGGCUGGGGUUUCCUUAUGAGGUCACACUUAGAGGACAUUAUAGGCCACAUGUAAGGCCUUUCGAGGGAAGCAAGUAGACUGGUGCGGCAACUCAAACCAUCCCGUGUUAUUGCUGAUGUAGCUAUCUCGAGGACCCCCUGAAAGUACUGAGGAUGUUUAGACUGGAGAGAAGAAGGCCAGGGACAUAGCAGCCAUUGUCAACUGCUCCUAUUCUUUAUGGACUAGUACCUAGAAGCUUCAAGGCAACAGAGUUUGAUUCAAUAUAAGGACUUCCUCACAGUGAUGGCUGCCCCCGAUGAAUGGGUGUGUAUGACGAAGUGGUGAGAUCAUGACACAUGACAGUACAGGGUACAUUUAUUGACUCCUUCAUCUAUUCAUUCAUUCAGCAAAUAUUUAUUCAUUAACAAAUAGACCACAUUAGUAAAUGGACAAGUUCUACAAGAGCAGCUCAACAUUGCAGUACCCACAUGGCCCAGUGUACUAGCACUAUGUUAAUAUUUGUUAAAUGAAUGAAAGAAUAUAUGGAUGAGUGAGGGGGUGUGGACACUGUGCUGGGUACUAGAGAUGACCUUACGACCCUCAAGGAGCUGACAAUUUAGUAACCGAGGCAGUUGAUCAAACAGUGAUGGUGCUCUGCAUGCAGUGGAUACAUGUACAAGUUGCUUUGAAAGAACAGAGGGGUGGUAUUGGCAGAAAGUGUUCCUGGAGCUCAGAGAAGGGCUGGCAGAGUUGGAAACUUCUUAUUGGAAAAGGUAAGCAAAGUGGAGAGGAAUGGGAAGAACAUUCCCAGAGGGAGAAAAAGUAUAGCUACGGGAAAGAGGUGGGGCGAGGCAGGCCUCUUGUUCCUGGGUUGCCCCUCUGCCUGAUGGAAGCCCCUCUGCAGGCCCCAUGGUGCUCUGGUUCUGUUCCUUCCACUUCUGCACUGCACUUCCCAUUCCUGCCCCAUGAUAUGUGCUGGAGUGGAGGGGGACAGCCAGAGAACUCUGGGUGUGCGGAGGAGGCCUUCAGCCCAUGUUCUCCCCACCUUCAUACGGAGAAGGCAAAGGCCUAGGGUCACCGAGGUGCCCUAAACUCCUCAGAAGAAGCCCUUUACUCACUCCUUUGUUGGAGCAUUUAUGCUCUCACUCCCAUCCCUUCCCUUAUCUAACCUGACCUCCUUUCUCUACUGUGAUGUGAUGUGGUGUAUGUAAUAUACUCAGUAUCACAAAGGUGUAAAUGAUGGACCAGGUUUAAUCUCUUACCCAUUCAGCGUUCAUCUACAUUUUAAUAAGAGAGAGUAUUUUUAGCCAAAGCAAUGAUAUCCUCAACAGGAAAUCCUGAGCGUCUCCAAUAGAAGUGGGAAGAUUUAGAGGAUCAGUGAUAAGGAUGAACUUCUUUACCCCUCCACCUCCAAGAGUUUUUUUCACACUGCUGGUCGUGGAUUGGGAAAUCAAUUUUGAGGGUCACAGUUAGCAUUAAAAAAAAUGAAAUCGAAUUGAGUAGAAUGGAAUAGAAGAGACAAAAAUAUCAGAGUUCAUAGCAUGCAGUAAGGGUAAGUUACGUUUCACAAAACAUAUUUCAGGUAAAUGUAUAUGUGUGUGAAUGAUGUAAAAUACACUUUUUGCUGUGAGUUGUAGUAAAACCAAAGAUUUGAAAAAGCACUGCCUUAAAAUUACCCUCUAGAAAAGUACAAUUUGAUUUUUCCUGAAUGAGUUGGCUUUUUCUUAGAAUUGGGACAAUCUCGGCUAGUCUAGCCUGCCUUGUGGUGGGUUCUAAGCAGAAUAGUAUUUCGAUUUUUUUUUUCUAUGUCCCAUAUCAGAGGAGCGGAGGUCUCUCAGUUUUUCCAAGUCCUCUCAGGAAACGAAACAAAAUGAAAUGCUAACCAUUGUUUCCUGCCUACCUAAGCAAAGGAUUUUUGCCUGACAUGUCCCCAUUAUAAGAGAUGAAAGCUUGACUCAGUGUUUCUAAGUGCCUUUGAGGAUUAGAGUCAUUCAUAAUGCAUAUCUGCCAUUCACAAGAGUAAAUGUGGAUUUCCUACUGGACUUUUUUCCAUUUGUCGAAGGCAGGAAAACCAAUGAGGCUUGUUUAAAUCAAAUGAGGUCACGGUUUGGAUAACUAGUCCUGAGGAAGAAAAGCUAGACCCACUACUAGUAUUGCAAAGUGUUCCCCUGUUCCCAAAGGCAAGCUGAGCCCUUGGGUCUAUGGCACCAGGUAAAGGGAGCACAAGAACACACAGACUGUAGAAACAUUUUCUUUUCUUUUUUUGCCAGAAAAGCCUCCUGAGCUCUGAAGAGAUGCAUGGAGAAUUCCAUUUUACCGAGUCAAGAGGAUCAAUUAAAAUGCCACGUCUGCUAGGUUUAAGGUGAAAUAGAGCCCCUGGAGAUUCAGAAGGACCACUUCGAGAGUUUCUGCCUCAGGGAAACCUCCCAGAAUUGUAAACUGGUUGUUCAGGUGAUGAAAUUUGUCCAGAGUCUGUGCCACCCAGAUGCAAGAAAAUAAAUCCACAACUUUGGCCAAAUUGAUAAUGAGUAAUGAUUAACAAAAUGUUCUUUUUCCUGGCUGGACUCCCGGGAGAGAGACUUUGUUUCUCCCAGGUGGCUUAAAGAGGAGCUUGCCUUUGUGUGUUCUCCACAUUCCAGGAAAGAUGAAGGUAGAGCUAACGUCUCUCCUGCAGGCGAAGUUCCCUGUCCUAGGUGGUCUUUAUGGAUCAGGCUGCCUCCUAAUUACAUACUGAUCAUUUAAAAAGUGAAACUCCAGGGAGCGACGGGCCAGUGAGCAAUUCCUCUGACUCCUCAGAGCCAUCAGACUCACGUGGAAUGAAGAAUGUCCCUCAGAUGCUGGAAGUGCUGCUGAAGACAUUCCUCAGUCAUCAGUUCUUGAUGGGGAUUGCCUUUGUUGAAGAGAACAGUCUGAGCCAAUCAUGUCCCCAUUCUGGGGUGGUCAGCAUCCAAUGACUAAUGAACAUGGAGGUGGAAAGGCUCAGCUAUUACAUCCAGGUGGAUUCAAGUUGGAAGCUCACCUGAGCUUCAGAACUCUCUGCAGGGUUGUCUGCGGCUUCCUUAGAGACUGCAUCACAGCCGACUUCUCCCUGUGCCUAAUCUUGCUUCCUUCCUGCCUUUCCACCGAUGCUGAUUCCAAGAGCUCUCUCGUAAGUCUCCUGCAUGCUGAUCUCCAUCUCAGAAUCGGCUUCCAGGGAUCCCAAUGUGAGCCACCUACUUUCGUCUGAUCUGAGCAACUUGAGGACAGGGACUGUGCCUUAUUCAUCUUUGUAUUUCUAGCACCCACAAAGUGCCUGGCGCAAAGUGUGCUCUAAAUCAAUGUUGGUGGGCAGGCUGAAUAAAUGAGAUGCAAAGUGUGAGAGGGAUUUGGCAUUGUUAAAAGAUGAAGGGGGCAAUCAGGUUUCCUCUAGAAGGCAGAUAGCUUCAUCGUUUGAUCGUCUCACCGUUAAUAGACUCAACUAUUAAACAGGCGAAGAGGUCUGGAUUUGGAGUUAAUAGAUCCAGGUACAAGUGUUAUUUUUCCCCUUACUUAUGUGUGUGUAUUGCUGGGUUCUAGCAGGAAGGAGAAAACACACUCAAACCUGGUGAUUCCAGGAGAAUUUAGUUGAAGGACUAUUUACAAGGCAAAGGCUGAGUUCAAGGAAACCAACAAAUAGUGCAGUAUCUGGGGCUAUUGACACAUUACCAUCUGAAGGCCUGAAGGGGCAAGGGAAGGGGGCCAAGUGUGGAAUGCAGAGGGGCUACCAAAAGGGAAUUGCGCCUUGCCUAGGGGGAUAGAGUCUGUUCACUGAGACCUAGUAGGAAGGGAGCAAGGGAAAUAAGGGCCCAGGGCUUAUUCUGCAACGCCCUCCCCUCUCCUACCAGUGUGUCCCAUUGGCCAUGCCCCAUGAGAAGCCAGAAGCCCAGGGGGUCCUUGCUGCAGGCCAGUGGCUUCCCAGGCACAGAGGGCAGAGAAGGGGGGGAGGGUGGAGAAGAGAGGAGAAUGGAUCUGGAGUGGUCAACAGAAGAUGCCCAGCACAGGGACCAUGGAGGGACUCAAGAGUUUAAGUGAUUUGCUUCUUACCUGGGGACGGGAGCUCCACCCUGCCCACUGGAUGGGUAAGAUACAUGAAACAUGCUUUGUAAACUGCAAAUUGCAAUACAUGUAUUACAUAUGGUUUAACUGAAAAUAUUCAUGCAUUGUUUCCAAGGGUAGGUCUUCUUACAAUACAACUUCUUUCCAAAUCUAGGAAGAGCUGCAGCAGACAGUGUUACUGAUUCAGUAGCAGGAAAUCACUCCCAUGCCUGCUGGCUAUAGUGCAUUUUGAUUAAUGGGACCUGGGGGUUGGAAAGGCCAGCUUUCUGAGUCAUGACCUGUGCCCUGAAAUUUUAGUUCUUAAAAAAAAAAGGAAGAGAAAAUAAAUGACUGUAUGUGUUGAAAGCCUGAAAGUUUCAGCCAUGCUUUUAAGUGCUUUUCAUGGAUUAAUUUAUCUUUAAAAAAUAUCACAAGGCAUUUCUAAUUUUUAUUCUUGUUUUAAAAAUGAGAGAACUGAAAUGAUGAGAGAUGAAGUAAUUUGCCCAUGGUGACAUAUUUAGUAAAUGAUCUUGUAACUCACUGCCUUAGCCAAUAAAUAUACUGCCUCUCAAUACAGAAUGUUCUUUUGCCUGUAUUUGAAAUGAAAUCAAACGGUGCCAUAUUGAACUUGUACUUUUAAAAUUUGUUUUAAAUAUUUAUCUAUUUUAUCCAAGUAGAUUUAUUCACUGUUGGGUGGUAUAAAAUAACUGGAUGAAUUUCCAAGAAUUUAUUUGUCUAUUCUCUUAUUGAUACAUUAAGUUGAAUCCAAUUUUGCUAUUACAAAUGAUGCUCCAAUUGAUAUUCCUGUAUAUGUCCCUCUGUGAAAAUUUGCUAGAAGAGAAUUUAUGACUAAGAGUGGAGUUCUUAGGCCAUAAAAUUUGUGUGUUCUCAAUUUUAUUAGAUACUGCAAGAUAAUUCUCCAAAGAUUCUGUAGAACUUGGCGCUCUGACCAGCAGUAUAUGAAAAUUACUGUUGCGUCUUAUACUAACCAACUCAAUAUUAUGUUUCUGAAUUUUUCUAUCAUAAUGGAUGGGAAAUGGAAUAGUCAUUAUUGUUUGUCUUUUAUUGCUACUAAUAAAUUUGAG